Molecule: ribosomal RNA, 500 nt
Filed under: uncultured bacterium
Lineage: Bacteria
Description: partial 16S ribosomal RNA
Rfam family: Bacterial small subunit ribosomal RNA
Source: RNAcentral
AUAGAACGCUGGCGGCAUGCCUUACACAUGCAAGUCGAACGGCAGCACGGGAGCAAUCCUGGUGGCGUGUGGCGAACGGGUGAGUAAUGUAUCGGAACGUGCCCAGUCGUGGGGGAUAACGUAGCGAAAGCUACGCUAAUACCGCAUACGAUCUAUGGAUGAAAGCGGGGGAUCGCAAGACCUCGCGCGAUUGGAGCGGCCGAUAUCAGAUUAGGUAGUUGGUGGGGUAAAGGCCCACCAAGCCUGCGAUCUGUAGCUGGUCUGAGAGGACGACCAGCCACACUGGAACUGAGACACGGUCCAGGCUCCUACGGGAGGCAGCAGUGGGGAAUUUUGGACAAUGGGCGCAAGCCUGAUCCAGCAAUGCCGCGUGCAGGAUGAAGGCCUUCGGGUUGUAAACUGCUUUUGUACGGAACGAAACGGCUUUUUCUAAUACAGAGAGCUAAUGACGGUACCGUAAGAAUAAGCACCGGCUAACUACGUGCCAGCCGCCGCGGUAA